AAAAAAAAAAAAGCCAGUGGGGCUAGUAUAACAGGAGCAGAGGGAAAAGAAAUACCAUCGGGCAGUUCACGCAGGGCUCAUUGCCAAGGAUUUAUGUCAGACUUGUGCUGUAAGAAGAUUACUCUGGCUACUGUAUGGAAAAUUAAGAUGGGGUGGCAUGUUGCAAGAGUGGAAGCAGGCAGGCCAGCUAGAAGACUACUGUAAUAAUCCAGCUAAGAUGAUAUUGGCUUGGAUCAAGGGUCCUGAUGCAGUUGGCAGAAGCAGUCAGCUCCUGGAUAUAUUUAGAAAGGAGAGCCGAUUGGAUGUGUGGAGGAGUGGGUUUGAGGAGGAAGAUCCAGAGUUCUGCUGAGGACAUUUUAAGUUGAAGAUGCUUAGUUUAUAUCCAUGCCCUGCCAUGCAGGCAGAUGUAAAUCAGGAGCUCAGGGACAAAGUUGAGACUAAGAAUGGGAGGUGUCGAUGCAGAGAAGGUACUUAAAGUUUUGGUUGAAUUCCAGGGUGUAUAAGUUGUUAGGGAAGUUAGCGUGCUUGUUCUUGAGUUGCUGGAAAGGCAUAUAAAUGACACAAAUACAUGGCCACAAUAUGUAUUUUCUCAAUAAUAUUUGGGGAAAUGUUCUGGGCAUCAGGUUUCCCGUCUAACUUUCCCUGUAGGAAACGGAUAGUCAUUGAAGUAAUUUUGAUUUGGGUGAGUUGUUACACGGAUAGCGAAGUUGUAAGUUCUCUUGCCACUUUUCUUGUUCUGCACCUUUCGAGAGUCAUUAUGAGAACUGAACACUAGGGGGACCCAGUUUCCUUACUUAUGCAACGGCGGCUGGCCCAGCUGUACGCUACGAUCGCCCUCACUUAGGACACAUGCAAUAUAAACACAAAUCUGAAAACAAGGGCAGCUUCUCUUUUCUCAAUGCAAUGUAUAUUUAUAGCAGUGAUCAUUUUUGCAUGUAACAUGUCUGAAUUCCUUAAAUAGGUCAUUUUAAGUAAUGUGCAUAACCAUUACAAUUUUUCUUUUUUGAGACAGGUUCUCACUCUUUGCCAAGGCUGUGUGCAGUGGUGCCAUCUGGACUCAUUGCAACCUCUGCCCCCUGGGCUCAAGUGAUCUUCCCACCUCAGCCUCUCGAGUAGCUGGGACCACAGGCAUGAGCCACCACACCUGGCUAAUUUUGGUUUCACCAUGUGGCCCAGGCUGGUCUUGAACUCCUGAGCUCAAGCAAUUCACUCACCUUGGCUUCCUGAAGUGCUGGGAUUAUAGGGAUGAGCCACCACACCUGGCCACCGUUUAAAGAUUUAAAGGCAAUGGUUUCUAAACUCUAGUUCCUUGUGAGCCCCAUAUUUGCAAACUUGUGAAAAUAAGGAUCAUGAUUUCUUAUUUUUUAUUAUUAUUAUUAUUUUUGAGAUGGAGUCUCACUCUGUUGCCCAGGCUUGGGUGCAGUGGCGCGAUCUUGACUCACUGCAACCUCCACCUCCCAGGUUCAAGUGAUUCUUCUGCCUCACCCUCCCAAGUAGCUGGGAUUACAGGCGUGCACCAACAUGCCCGGCUAAUUUUUGUAUUUUUAGUAGAGACAGGAUUUCACCAUGUUGGCUGGGCUGGUCUCGAACUCCUGACCUCAAGUGAUCCACCCACCUCGGCCUCUCAAAGUGCUGGGUGGGAUUACAGGUGUGAGCCACCAUGCCCAGCUGAAGGAUCAUGAUGAUUUCUAAUUUACAAUAGUUGAAUUGGAGUAUGGAAAUCUAAAUCUAAUAAAUACCACCUGGUGAUUUGAAUCUGUGCCACAAGAAUGCUGACAUAGAAUCCAUUUUCUAUUUUAUCACCAGGUAUUAAGCAAAGGGAAAGGCAAAUAAAUGCUCAAAAGCUACAUUACAUGCUAUUGGAGUAUAAAAUGUAUAACUUUGUUAAAAGGUUUGGACACAUUUUGUAUUAGUUACGGAUACAUAGGUCUUAAAAGAGUACAUGAUCUUAAUUCUUUUUUUGAGACGGAGUUUCGCUCUUGUUGCCCAGGCUGGAGUGCAAUGGCGCAAUCUCGGCUCACUGCAACCUCCGUCUCCCGGGUUCAAGCAAUUCUCCUGCCUCAGCCUCCCGAGUAGCUGGGAUUAUAGGCAUGUGCCACCACGCCCGCCUAAUUUUGUAUUUUUAGUAGAGACGGGGUUUUUCCAUGUUGGUCAGGCUGGUAUUGAACUCCCGACCUCAGGCGAUCCACCCGCCUCGGCCUCCCAAAGAGCUGGAAUUAUAGGCGUGAGCCACUGCGCCCGGCCCAACUCAUUUUUAUAACUAGAAUAAUUUUAGUUUUGGGGAGAGAAAGUCUACAUAAGGUUUAUACUGAAACUUCUUGAAGUCAACAAUCUUAAAGCAGAAUCUUUUUAAUCAGGAGAAAUGAAAACAUAAUUAACAGCCUGGUGUGGUGGAGGUGGAGGUUGCAGUGAGCCAAGAUCGCACCACUGCACUCCAGCCUGGACAACAAGAGUGAAACUCCAUCUCAGAAAAAAAAAAAGGAAAAAAAAAGAAAACAUAAUUAACAAAUACGUUAGCUAUAAUGCCAAGCACGGUGGCUCACACCUGUAAUCACAGCACUUUGGAAGGCCAUGGUGGGCAGAUCACUUGAGGUCAGGAGUUCAAGACCAGCCUGCCCAACAUGGCAAAAUCCUGUCUCCACUAAAAAUACAAAAAUUAGCUGGGUGUGGUGGUGCAUGCCUGUAAUCCCAGCUACUUGGGAGGCUGAGGCAGGAGAAUUGCUUGAACUCGGGAGGUGGAGGUUGCAGUGAGCCAAGAUCGUGCCACUGCACUCCAGCCGGGGUGACAGAGCAAGACUCUGUCUCAAAACAACAACAACGAAAAAGUGUUAGCUGCUUGAUCUUUCCUAUUUUGGGGCAGUUAUGAUCUAAGAAUUACUUUGACCACAAUGAAUCCUUUCCCAUGAGUCAGGACUGUUAGUUUUCAGAGCUUUGCUUCUGGUGGUACUGAUCUGUGCCAGUGUUACAGAUAUGUGGUGAAGGAGCUAGAAUUUUUUUUUUUUCAGCUUGAGAGCUAAUUGUGUGUGUGUGUGUGUGUGUGUGUGUUUAACAUUUUUAUGUGAUUGAAAAAAUAUAUAUUUCCUGUAUGAAAAUCUUGUGAAAUUCACAUUUCAGUAUCCAUAAAUAAAAUUCCAUUGAAACAUUGCCACAUUCAUUCAUUUAUAUAUUGUCUGUGGCUGCUUUUGACCCUCAAUGGCAGAGUUGACUAGACAGAGGCCUCAUGGCCUGCAAAGCUUUAAAUAUUUACUAUCUGGACCUUUACAGAAAAAGUUUGCCAAACCCUGGCAUGUAGAGUCUGUGCUGUUUACUUACAGGUUGCAACAGUUCUUGGAACGAUUCUGUAACUGGUUGUAGUCUUUAACUAUUUGCCGUUAUGACUUUUGAUAGGCUUACUCUGGCUACCAUGAUAUCAUUUCAUUCAUGUAUUUUUCAUUAAUAAUUAAAUACCAUCGCUGCUUUCAUUCUUAAUUCUUAGAUGAAAACAUGCUUCUUCAUUUGAUUAUAUUGUUUAAUUUUUAUUUCGCUCUCCUGUUAUUCAUUACUUAAUAUUUCCCUUGAAUUAUUUAGUCUUUUUCUAAGGUGCUGUAAUUUGCAUGAAAAACUCAACAUAAAAUAAAAUUGUCCUGCUUUCAAUGACCAGAAAAAAUGAUUUAAAAGUUCAGGCCACACACGAUGGCUCACACCUGUAAUCCGAGCACUUUGAGAGGCCGAGGCAGGUGGAUCACCUGAGGUCAGGAGUUUGAGGCCAGCCUGGCCAACAUGGUGAAACCCCAUCUCUACUAAAAAUACACAAAAUUAGCCAGGCGUGGUGGCGGGCACCUGUAAUCCCAGCUACUCGGGAGGCUCAGGCAGGAGAAUCACUUGAACCUGGGAGGCUGCAGUGAGCUGAGAUUGUGCCAUUGCACUCCAGUCUGGGCAACAAGAGUGAAACUCCAUCUCAAAAAAAAAUACUAGUAAAUAUAAAUAAAUAAAAAGUUCAGUAGACACUUCUUGGGAAACUUUAUGUGUCUCUAGUAGAGUUAAAAGGUUUUGCAGAAGAUAAACGUUAAAAAAUUAUUUAUUUGGAGUGAAUCUUUGGUGAGUUUUUAUAACUUUAAUUGCAUCAAAUACUGAAUGCUGUGAGAGUCAAUAAAAAAAUCUUAUAACAGAAGAAAAUCAGUAUCUUUAAAUAAAAAAGCCAUAAAUGUAUUGCAAAUCUAGAAGUACCAGAAUGUCACUAAUACAGAACAAAUCAGCAAUCUUGUUUUUAUUUUCUUCCAAACAUUUAAAACCUUGAUUAUUGACAUACUGAAAUUGGCAUGCAUUCUCUUUUCAUGCAGGUAACAGAAUAGACAUGGAGCAGAUCCCUCUGAAAUCAGUUAUAAAUAUUAAAUUGUAUUGAACAUUCAUAGUAAAAAUACGUUGUAAAGUGCUGAAGUCAUGUAAGUCUGCAAAACUGCCACAAGCUCAAAGUUCUUCUCAAGCAGUGGCAGAGAUUUGCUAUAUCCACCUUGUUUUAGAUUAUGCCUGUUUUUGACAGACACUGUGUCAUUUCCUCCCCCACCCUCCCCAAAGUUUUAUAGAUUGUCCUAUUUCUAUGGCUGGUAAGAUGCUCUACAAAAUGUAGCAGGUGGUGAUGAACUAUGCCACUUUCAUUUCAGUGCAGAGAAAUAUUCAAGCUUGUGUGUACCUGUAACCAAACUAGGCUUGUUAUGUUUUUCCCCCGAGUUGUCAUAAAUUAACAUUAAUGAUGAGUAAAGAUGGAGCAGCGAGCAUUGACCGUCACCUGCAGGGUGAGAUUGCAGUAAAAUAGGUGAGUAAAAAGUCCACCUAUUAUCCUGACACUUGUCCUCUUUACAGAAAACUGUAACGUGAGCAAUACUAUACAUGUAGUGUGACUCCAAAAAUAAAAAAUAAAACAAACAACAACAACAACAACAAAAAAACAAUGACCAGUUACCCGAUACCUCUGGCAACUUAGAACAAUCAAGUUGUGAGUUAUAGAAGAUGUAAAUUGCAACUUGUAACUCGCUAUAACAUAAAUGUCUCUGUUACCCCCAUGUGAAAUACAGAAAUGCUUCAACAAUUAGAUGGUUUUUUCUUUAAAUCAGAAAUGCUUUAACAGUUCAAUGAAAUAUAAUUCUGAUCAAAGAAGUUCCUCAAGUAUUCUUAGAUGAUAAAACAAAUUAUUUUUGAAAGCUAAGGUGAUUUGCUAUCCGUUAUUUUUUCCCCUUUAAAUAGCACAUGUUGCCCUUAAUCAAAUGGAAGAAUCAUGACAACUUGGCCUUUUAUGAAAGUAUUUUUUACAAGAUAAGACGUAUUCUGUGAGGCAUUUAAAGGACUGCAGAAAGGAGGUAAAAAUGCUGCUUAUGUCUCAGAUUUUAUUUCUUUUGAUUAAUCAUCCUAGAAUAACUUAAUAAUAAAUAGCGGUUUAAAUUAAAGACACUACAGUCACAUAUUUCUGUAUAACUAAAAGCAACAGGAAACACAUUUUUAAAUGCCAUUUUGUAUAUUCUGUACUGAAACACUUCUGGUAAGGACUGGCCAUAAAAAGAAGUGGUAAUCUUCACAUUUAUGAAGUUCAAGUUAUAUAUAUAUAUAUACUUAA
Long non-coding RNA from Homo sapiens (human), 5587 nucleotides. RefSeq lists it as uncharacterized. The record is from RefSeq and is a predicted model, not a curated record. NCBI's taxonomy places the organism in Eukaryota, Metazoa, Chordata, Mammalia, Primates, Hominidae. The transcript has 3 exons.